This 236-nucleotide unclassified non-coding RNA is filed under the name Hevea brasiliensis (rubber tree). The record is from RNAcentral. Lineage: Eukaryota; Viridiplantae; Streptophyta; Magnoliopsida; Malpighiales; Euphorbiaceae.
GAAGUUCAGAAGGCGUGGAAAGUUUCAUUCACGUUGCAAUCAGAUUUAAAGUCUGAGAAUAUCAUGCUUUUGGACAAGCAUAAGAUAGAAAAAGAACAAAACGCUCAGCUCAGAAAUCAGGUAGCUCAACUGUUACAGAUGGAACAGGAGCAGAAAUUGCAGAUGCAGCAACGAGAUUCCACAAUUGAGACAUUGCAGGCUAAAAUUAAAAGCAUGGAGUCGCAACUCAACAAAGC